UUGAUAUCCCGCUAAACAUCACCUGUGAAUCCUACAAUGCCAUAUUUACGGGUCUCGACCAAAGUUUGGAAUCUCUUCCGCCUCACCUCUCACAGGGUGUAAAGUCAAGCUUGGAUGCACUGAUGAAGACAUUCCAACGUUGCUCAAGGCCUCCAGCUUUAAUUGUGUGCAAAGAAACAUUGGUCAAUGAGAAACAACUUUGUGCUGGAUUUAACAGCACACAACUGAAGCAACAAAUGUCGAUUGGGAAUCUCAAUGAAUCCCUUUGCAAUUUCAACAUCUCUGAAUAUGCCUGUUCCUCAACAACCCUUCUGUCAGCGGACAACUUGGUGACGAUCCUGAA
Long non-coding RNA from Oncorhynchus gorbuscha (pink salmon), 343 nucleotides. RefSeq lists it as uncharacterized. The record is from RefSeq and is a predicted model, not a curated record. The transcript is spliced from 7 exons. NCBI's taxonomy places the organism in Eukaryota, Metazoa, Chordata, Actinopteri, Salmoniformes, Salmonidae.